RNAcentral lists this ribosomal RNA (1160 nucleotides) under uncultured Hysterangiaceae. Its description in RNAcentral is "eukaryotic LSU rRNA". The stretch from base 547 to 1160 matches the Rfam family "Eukaryotic large subunit ribosomal RNA", at positions 1 to 612 of the family's 3401-position model. The record is from RNAcentral. Lineage: Eukaryota; Fungi; Basidiomycota; Agaricomycetes; Hysterangiales; Hysterangiaceae.
AGGAUCAUUAAUGAACGUUCAGGUGGCGGUCGACCUCCCGUCGGCCGUCGAAAUUCACACCCGUGUGCACCUUGGGAGCCCCUGGCUCUUGCAAAAAAAAUGCCUGUCAAUGAAGCAUGUUCGAGUGCUCUACGGAGAGCCGUAUACAUAUACAACUUUCAACAACGGAUCUCUUGGCUUUCGCAUCGAUGAAGAACGCAGCGAAAGUGCGAAACGUAAUGUGAAUUGCAGAAUUCAGUGAAUCAUCGAAUCUUUGAACGCAUCUUGCGCUCUUCGGUAUUCCGAGGAGCAUGCCUGUUUGAGUGUCGUGACAAUCCCUCGACUCUCCCCUCGUCCGUUCCCCUUCUGGGGGGGCUCGCGUUCGGAGGGUCGGAUUUUGGACGUUGCCGUCCUUUGUGAAGGCUCGUCUCGAAAUGCAUUAGCCUCGUUCCGGCCUCGGUUCCUUCCACAGACGAUAUGGCGUGAUAAUGAAAAAACUCGCUGGCGUCGGUCGGGCCUUGGAUAGAGAGGGGGCUCACAGUCGUCUCCGGACAAAUUCCCUCGAUCUGACCUCAAAUCAGGUAGGACUACCCGCUGAACUUAAGCAUAUCAAUAAGCGGAGGAAAGGAAACUAACAAGGAUUCCCCUAGUAACGGCGAGUGAAGCGGGAAGAGCUCAAAUUUGUAAUCUGGCGGUCUCUGGCCGUCCGAGUUGUAGUCUGGAGAAGCGUUUUCCGUGCCGGACCGUGUACAAGUCCCUUGGAACAGGGCGUCGUAGAGGGUGAGAAUCCCGUCUCUGACACGGACUGCCGGUGCUCUGUGAUGCGCUCUCGAAGAGUCGAGUUGUUUGGGAAUGCAGCUCAAAAUGGGUGGUAAAUUCCAUCUAAAGCUAAAUAUUGGCGAAAGACCGAUAGCGAACAAGUACCGUGAGGGAAAGAUGAAAAGCACUUUGGAAAGAGAGUUAAACAGUACGUGAAAUUGUUGAAAGGGAACCGCUUGAAGUCAGUCACGUCCAUCGAGGUUCAGCCGUGGGGUCUCCCCCGGCGUAUUUCUCGGCUGGACGGGCCAGCAUCGAUUUCGACCGUUCGAGAAAGGCUCGGGGAACGUGGCACCCUUCCGGGUGUGUUAUAGCCCUCUGUCGUAUGGGACGGUCGGGAUCGAGGACCGCAGCGUGCCCCCUCU